RNAcentral lists this ribosomal RNA (386 nucleotides) under uncultured Nostoc sp. Its description in RNAcentral is "bacterial SSU rRNA". It matches the Rfam family "Bacterial small subunit ribosomal RNA", at positions 109 to 525 of the family's 1533-position model. Lineage: Bacteria; Bacillati; Cyanobacteriota; Cyanophyceae; Nostocales; Nostocaceae. The record is from RNAcentral.
AGAACAGCGUCGACCUUUUUUGGCUCUAGGUCGGGGACAACCACUGGAAACGGGGGCUAUUACCGGAUGUGCCGAGAGGUGAAAGAUUAAUUGCCUAGAGAUGAGCUCGCGUCUGAUUAGCUAGUUGGUAGUGUAAGAGACUACCAAGGCGACGAUCAGUAGCUGGUCUGAGAGGAUGAUCAGCCACACUGGGACUGAGACACGGCCCAGACUCCUACGGGAGGCAGCAGUGGGGAAUUUUCCGCAAUGGGCGAAAGCCUGACGGAGCAAUACCGCGUGAGGGAGGAAGGCUCUUGGGUUGUAAAGCGCUUUUCUCAGGGAAGAACAAAAUGACGGUACCUGAGGAAUAAGCAUCGGCUAACUCCGUGCCAGCAGCCGCGGUAAUA